Molecule: long non-coding RNA, 7188 nt
Filed under: Sus scrofa (pig)
Lineage: Eukaryota; Metazoa; Chordata; Mammalia; Artiodactyla; Suidae
Description: lncRNA (ENSSSCG00040021205.1)
Source: RNAcentral
UUUUUUUUUAAAGCACCGUUUUCAUUUAUUUCAGUUGUUAUCAGAGAGAGUGGAGCGCUGCCCAGAGCCUAUCGCUUGCCAAUGGCACUAGCUGUCUGUCACCUUUUAUAAAACCCUUUGACCCCAAGACCAAGUGUGUGGUAAGCUUGCAAAGUGUCAGUGCGUUACAGGGGGUGGGGGGAAGGUUUUCUCACGUCCCCUGUCCCCGUUCACUGGCCAAAGGCACCCGUGGCGAGAGAGGCCUUGAGUCCAUCAAGCGCCUCGUUCUGCUCGCACUGGAAGGGAAAUUAUUUUCAGACCAAAUUGGAGCUAAAUGGGACUUAGGACAACAUAAGCUUCUGACCCUCUUCACGGAUCUCAGCCCCUUGCUCUGGGUGUUCGAAAAACACAACUCUGUCCAAUCCCAGAGUCUCAGGUCAGCCAAAUUAAACUUAAAGAGCUGAGCCCAGGCCGAGGCCAGGUAGGUUUUCCAUGAAUUGGCUCCUGGCCUGAGCACACAGGCGCAGCGGGAGGUGGAGCAGGCUAACCCUGAGAUCAGGAAUCAGGGCGCCGGCGGGGGGUCAGGGGGGGCUUGGCAGGACUACCUUCCAGGCCUUGGGUCUUGGGGUAAAUCGCUUCUCUUUUCUGGGCACCAGAUCCCUCACCUACAAAGCAGGGAACUGUGCCCGAUGACCUCCGAGCCCUGCAGGCUAGAGGCUGUGAAGGACGGGGAGUGUGCGGUGCAGGCCUGGAGCGGCCACACCUGGGCUCAAGGCCUGGCCCUGCUCCUUCCUGGUUGCCAGGCAUCACCUGGGCAAGUGACUCACCUCUGCAGCUUGAAGUUCUUGGGCUGAGAAAGGGGAGUGAUCAUGCUACCUUCAAGCGUAAUCACUGCUACCCAAGCCUGGUGCCUGGCUUACUAGGUGAUCAACAGAGGUCCACUGUUACCAUGGCGACCCAGCUGGGUCUGAGGGGGAGAGGCCGAGUCUGUGGGAACAGCCAGAGCACAUGUGGCUGCAGAAGAGAAACCCCCCGUGUGGACGGAGAGGCCCUGAGGUCCUUGCUCCGGGUUCAUUCUUCCCCCGGGGCCUUCUUAGAUCGCUUUUCAUUUAUCAUGUUGAGCUGACAGGUGGAGGCACAGAGAUGAUCCAUUUCAGCACUGGACACCCAACCACCGUCAUCGGGACACUGUGUGUCUCCUGAAAUGCAGCCCAGAGCUGCUGGACGCAUACUCGUGGGGUCUAAGGCUGAGCCCUGCAGUGGGAGGCACCUAUGCCCCUGGGUGGCUUCUGCAGAGCUGCUGCCCUGCAUGUAGCUCUGGUCAAAGGGUGGGUCAGGGGGAGGUCACUUAGGCAGAGGGAUAUUUGAGAAUCACAUGGCACUGGCUGCCCCAGAUGGGGGUAUCGAAGUUGGCCCAGUCCUCAAACGGACCUUUUACUGUCCAAGAGAACAUGUAUCCUAAGGCAGGGGGCGGGGGAGGGGGCGCAGUGGGGCAAGUAGAAAGAUCACUGAGCCACGAGCAGAAGAUACAGGUCCCAGUCCAGGCCCUGGCUCGUUUCCUCACCUGGAGCCGGGCCUGGGUUUCCUUCCCUGUAACCGGAAGACGUAUAUACCUGGUGAUCUCUAAGUGCCACUAGUUAACGGUUCUAAGACAGCCAAGUGACCUUGGCCAAGCCACUUAACCUUUUAGUGUCUUGCCUCAUCUGUUAAAUUAGGCACCAGCCAAGCCCAGGCCCCGACGAGCCAUAGGUGGUGAGCGGUGGUGGAGGCAGGAGUCGUCAUUAUCUGGGAUGCGCUUUCACGCACGCGGCAGAGUCCCGAGCAGGUGUUCAGCAGGUGUUCAGAGGCACCGGCAGUUCAGGAGGCGGAAAGAGGGCCUGUUCCUCUUGGUCGCGCCUCUUCCUCCCAUCGAGAGGAGGACCAGAGGCGGGGAGCCCUCACGAAGAUGCCAGGGGAAGUAAUGCCUGGAAAAGUCAAUCGCCCACCCACCGUGGGGAAGGGGCUGAGGGGGCUACAGGGCGCGGUGACAGCGAGCCGUCGGGGAGACCCUCGGACGCCUCAGUUAGGAGCCUCUGUUCAACAAGCCUCCUCUAAAGGGUUUUUCCCCACCGGGACCACAGCGCUUGAUUUAGUCAAUGGACCUUUUCAAAAGAACAAAAGCCCAUCUCGACAUGUAACAUCUGAAUCGGUCCAGCUUUAAGGAAAGGAAAACCAAAACAGAGAAUAAAAAAGCCCCUCGAGGUCAGAGCCUCCAGGGAGAGGAAGGAAGUGCCUAAAGCAGAUGAAACACGGCACAGGUGGUGCUCAGAGCACUGUCGCGUGUGGCAGGAGGCGCGGUCCCCCUUUGCAGGGGGGCAGACAGACGCUUAGCGAGUUAAGAUACCUGCCCCAUGUUGCCCUGAUCCCAGGGCCACUGGAGCGUGGACUUCCCGCUCCAGCAUGAUGUCACAGAGGAGAUGCUGGGGUCUGGCUGCCUCAGCCUCAGUUGCUCGGGACCUCUCUCCUCUUGCAAGAGCCUAAACAACCAUUCUUUUCCAAAACAAGACGCAGUGGGCUCGCUGGAAUCCACAACGCUUUUCUCCCGGCGGUCAUAAGACGAGCCUUACAAUGUUUGCACGAGUCGGGCUGACGUGGCGUUGGCGGGGGGGAGCAGGGGGAAGAAGUGGUUCAGGGGACACGACCCUCACUGUCAGGAAAUCAAGGGCAUACAAAUUAAGUCGGAAUCCAUUUCUGCAAAGAGAGGCAAGUUCCCAACCAUCUAAAGCUUAUUUCUUUUUUUUCCAGUUUUCUUCUGCAGCUGUGACUUCCACCGGCACAUGGUUUUCAUCAGUCAUAUGCAAAACCGACUGUGGUCUGAAAAUCAAAGCAGUCCUGUAAAUAGUGUAAGACAAGCCCCGCUAAUCACCUUGUGGUCUUGCCUUGUCCUCAGUGUCCUGAACGGCCACUGUAAAUACGGACUCAUCUGGGGUUUCUCCCCGCGUGUCCCAGGAGUCCUCCUUAUAAUAGAAUCUCUACAAAGGGUCUUGGUUCUGCCCCAGUGCCCUUCACCCCAAACCCUCCAAAGGUCCCCAUGAAGGAGGGCCAUCCAACUCUGGGCGCCUUGGAGAGCAAGUGCCUGGCAUGAUGUGCCCUUAUUUUGUCGCGGUGCUCGGGGCGAGGUGAGCCUGGCAUGCUGGUGUGGCUUGAGGAGCCAACAAGGGGGUUGUAACUGGUUCACGGACACAGUCCCCUAACUACGCCAGCCCUCAUGCAGGCCUGGUUUAUUUUUAGGGGGCCAAGCACGCACAACAAGGAAACCAACACACAAGCUGCACAGGCUCGCUGUCAUACUGAGAGCACAGUAUCCCACGCUCGCAGGCUGAGGCCCUCGCCCUCAGCUGGAAUCAAUCGCCCGCCUGCUGGGUUCCCCGGCACACUGGGCCUCUGACCUCAGGCCCGGCCACGGGCUGCCUUGAGCUGGAGCUGUUUAGAUUGGUGUCUAGACUCUGUCAUCCAUAGCUCGGGCUCCUGGCCCGUGAGAAGGCCGAGACUGUAGUCUCAGUAUGUGUUUGAAUUAAAUAAAAGGCAGUUUUAGGAGCCCUUCAACCAACAACCAACUGGGAUCCAUUUCUAGACAUCAAAGUAUUGGGAUGAAAUCUGGCUCCUUCUAAAUCAUAGGGUAUUUGUCAAUGUGUACUGAAACGAUCAAAAUUACCUAGUGGUUCUCUCUGAGACUCUCUGCGGAGGCCUUCUGGAGCCUGGCCAGUUCCUCUGGGGCUAGAGCAGCUUGCCGCCAGCUUCUGCCACUGCAGGGCCAGGCCUUGCUCAGGAGUUGGGGGCAGGGGGGGUGUAGGCGCCUCUGCUCCCUUGGCUCCUCCUCUUGGGGGAGGAGGUCACAAGAGGGCCAGCUGGCCAAAUGAGAAGGAGGGACAGGACGAUUCACGUGGGCUCCUGAGCCUCCCCAGCCACAGGGGUGCCUUCCUCCCGGGCUCCCGGCUCUGUCCCCAGGCACCUGCCACAGUCCAACCACUCCCCCGCAGCCCACUAGACACUCCAUCGCGGCAAGACCCGCUGGGCACAUUCGCCACCUCUGCACCGCGGCUUCCAGUCUAGUGCCCAACACAUAGCAGCUCAAUACAUACUUGCAAAAACACUCUUGGCUUAUAUAAGGCGUACUUUAGAAUUAGAAAAUGUGUACAACAGCAAGAAACCCCAGAGGCUGUAUAGCGGGGAAGGGGACACUAAGGGCCGGAGCAGCUGGUGGUCCUUCUCACAGGGCACAAGUCUUCUCUGGAAGCCCAUUGGGGGCAGACUUGGGGGAUGGGGCAUCCUUAGCGCCCAUGGCGCUUGCCUCCCUUAGGGCCUGACGGCAGGAAUGGCUGGCUGGCUGGCUGGCUGGCUGGCUGGCUGCCCAAGGACCUGCACUAAGGCCCCAGAGCUAGUGGCUAGAAUUGGGGCCCAUCCUCCUAAUCUCCUUCACUCCCAGGCUGAUGCUCUUUCCAUCAUGAACCUGCCUGAUGAGACCUGGGAGGAGGGGGCGGCAGCAUGGCCACUGAGAAAGGCGGGGUCCCCUCGCGCCGGGAGGGGUCAGCUGAGAUGGUGCACCUGGCUGGGUUAAGGUGCGGUCAGAGAGUGGGUGUGGGGGACCUAAGGAAUGGGGUGCUGCCAGAGGCCUGGGACCCCAGGGCAGAACCACCACCCAUGUCUAUCCUGCUUUCCCACCUGCACCUGCUGGGUGUGCCUCGCAGGGCGGGUGCCCUGGCAUCAGGCAUCCGAAGUUCUCUGCUCGCUGUGUCCAGGGCUGCUGGAGGGGCUCUGCACUGGCCCUGCUAACGGCCACGUGGGGCCCGUGGAGGCUGCUGGGGUCUCUCCACAGGCCCGGGCAGGAGCUCACGUCCCUCACCUGCACUGGGCUGCCGGGGAGAGGCCGGCUGCCUGUCUGCCGGCGGUGAGUCACCGUCACGAUCACAGAUGACCCUCUGCUCCUGACCGAGCUGACCAUGCGGAGUGCGGGCGCCUGGUCGCAGCCCCACGGGGACGCACCUCCAGGCGCCUGUUCAGCAUCGCCAGGAAUCACAGGAAAGGACCACCCUACCCCCCAAGGACUGAGACAACCCUGAGGCCAUCAACUCUUUGGAGGAUAAAACAAUCUCCUCCCCAGAGAGUCUCUCUGGGGCUCCUAUUAAAGUAUCAAUUGCCUGGUUGUAAAUUUUUCUCCCACUAGACUCUCAGCAUCUAGAGGCCACAGCUCUGUCUCCCACAGCUGCUCAGCAGCUGAAAUGAUAUUCCCGGACGCCUGGCUCUUUGGGCCUGCAGAUGGAAAAGCAGCCAUUCCAAAAGAAAGAAAAAGAAAAGAAGUUCCCAUUGUGGCUCAGCGGGUUGAGAACCCAACUAGUAUCCAUAAGGAUCCCUGGCCCCCACUCAGUGGGUUAAGAAUCUGGCAUUGCUGUGAGCUGUGGUGUAGGUCGCAGAGGCAGCUCAGAUCUGGCAUGGCUGUGGCUGUGGUGUAGGCCAGUAGCUGUAGCUCCAAUUCGACUCCUAGCCUGGGAACCUCCAGAUGCCGCAGGUACAGCCCUAAAAAGAAAAGAAAAGAAAAAAAAGAAGAAACGGCCGAAUGGGAGAGCAUGCCUGGGGUCCGCCCCCUCUGCUAGGGGGCAAGGGCCUUCCUGGGAUCUUUAGGCAGGCUCUGCUAGGCUGGGGGUGCGGGCAAACUCCACGGCAGGUGGGCAGGAGGCAGAACUCUGGCAGGGAGCUAGCCUUACGGGUCCUUUCAAUUACGCUGAGAUGCUCGGCCAGGAUGGGGAGCGCUCACCUGGGCUGCUGGCCCGCAGGGCUCACUCCACGCUGCCCGAGCCCAGGGCCCCGCACAUGCUGGUGACAGCCAGUGGCUCUGUGGGGUUGUGUGCCAGUUACAGAGAGGGAGGGAGGGGACGAGGGAGGGAAGGCGCGGAAGGAAAGGAGGGACAGACACAGGAUGAGGAUAAAUGCUAUUCACACACGGUACGAAGCAGGUUUGCUCAAUGAUAGAUGGUGAUCCGUUAGUGGGUUGGGAGAUCCACCGAGUGGGUCCUAGUCAGCGUUAAAGUAAAAUGAAAUAAAAAUCAGAGUACAUCACAGGUGGCAAGGAGAAGUAUUUUUCUGCGACACUUUUGUGGAUAUACAAUGUCUUCCCGGGGAUGGUGGCAAAAAAAUCUGGAAGGUGGGGAGGUGCCCACGACACGUGAGCCGUCGUGCUCUUGGUUUGCAGCUAUGCUAUUUUACCUGUGUUCCUCCUAAUGGCCCUGCUACCAGGGAGGUGUUAUUGCAGGUUUCUCCCAGCCUCUGAAAGUCAGGCAUCCCUAUGAAAUCUACUUCUGAACGCAUCUCGCCAAUGGACGCACAAGACAAAGCCAAACAAAGCACAGACGCGUGCAGACACAGUUCAAGCUGUGGUGGCUUGAGGCCGACAUGCCGAGAGUGGUUCCCGGGGAAGGAGUUUGUCGGGGCCCCUCUGGCUGCUCGAGGAGCUGGGGGUGGGGAGAAGGCGGCCUUUAUAAGAGCUGGCUGCAAACCCAACGCUGAACGCGAUCUUUCCUUUUUGGCUUUUGUUGGUUUGUUUGUUUUUUAGGGCCACGCCAGAGCAUAGGGAGGAGGUUCCCAGGCUAGGGGUCAAAUCAAAACUGCAGCUGCCGGCCUACACCACAGCCACCGCAGCACCUGAUCUGAGCCACAUCUGCAACCUACACCAUAGCUUGAGGCAACGCUGGAUCCUUAACCCACUAUUGGUCAGAUUCUUAACCCACUGAGCCACAAAGAGAACUUCAGCUUUUUCAAUAGAAGUGAAAAUCCUCUUUGGAUUUCUUUUAGUUAGCGAAACCAGGUACUAAUACAGGUCUUUUGUAAAAGCGAAGUGGCAUAAAGCAUACUCUCAAAAAGCAAGGGGCACCUACAUCUUUUAUUUUUGCCCAUGAGAAAUCCACGAUUCAGAGACGCAAAGUAAAUUUUCUAAGGUCACACAGCUAAUAGGUGGCGAUGCCAGUUAUGACUCCACAGUGCUCGACUCCAAUGUGUACCUUCUUUCCAUACCGCCAACAUUUCCAGCGGAAGAAGCGCUGGCGAGUGAGUCUAGAGCCCAGGCCUCCGCCUCUGGAUCUGCUGUGUGACGCUGAAUCACUGCUCUGUUUCCUUCUCUACACCAAGAGGGCACGAGAGAGAUGAUUUCUCAAGUUCUUGGAACAUCGUUUUAGGGAG